This 458-nucleotide ribosomal RNA is filed under the name uncultured bacterium. RNAcentral's name for it is "bacterial SSU rRNA". It matches the Rfam family "Bacterial small subunit ribosomal RNA", at positions 335 to 784 of the family's 1533-position model. The record is from RNAcentral.
ACUCCUACGGGAGGCAGCAGUGGGGAAUAUUGGACAAUGGGCGAAAGCCUGAUCCAGCCAUGCCGCGUGUGUGAAGAAGGUCUUCGGAUUGUAAAGCACUUUAAGUUGGGAGGAAGGGCAGUAAAUUAAUACUUUGCUGUUUUGACGUUACCGACAGAAUAAGCACCGGCUAACUCUGUGCCAGCAGCCGCGGUAAUACAGAGGGUGCAAGCGUUAAUCGGAAUUACUGGGCGUAAAGCGCGCGUAGGUGGUUUGUUAAGUUGGAUGUGAAAUCCCCGGGGCUCAACCUGGGAACUGCAUUCAAAACUGACUGACUAGAGUAUGGUAGAGGGUGGUGGAAUUUCCUGUGUAGCGGUGAAAUGCGUAGAUAUAGGAAGGAACACCAGUGGCGAAGGCGACCACCUGGACUAAUACUGACACUGAGGUGCGAAAGCGUGGGGAGCAAACAGGAUUAGAUA